Molecule: ribosomal RNA, 694 nt
Filed under: Serratia marcescens
Lineage: Bacteria; Pseudomonadati; Pseudomonadota; Gammaproteobacteria; Enterobacterales; Yersiniaceae
Description: bacterial SSU rRNA
Rfam family: Bacterial small subunit ribosomal RNA
Source: RNAcentral
UUCGAUUUGGAGGUUGUGCCCUUGAGGCGUGGCUUCCGGAGCUAACGCGUUAAAUCGACCGCCUGGGGAGUACGGCCGCAAGGUUAAAACUCAAAUGAAUUGACGGGGGCCCGCACAAGCGGUGGAGCAUGUGGUUUAAUUCGAUGCAACGCGAAGAACCUUACCUACUCUUGACAUCCAGAGAACUUUCCAGAGAUGGAUUGGUGCCUUCGGGAACUCUGAGACAGGUGCUGCAUGGCUGUCGUCAGCUCGUGUUGUGAAAUGUUGGGUUAAGUCCCGCAACGAGCGCAACCCUUAUCCUUUGUUGCCAGCGGUUCGGCCGGGAACUCAAAGGAGACUGCCAGUGAUAAACUGGAGGAAGGUGGGGAUGACGUCAAGUCAUCAUGGCCCUUACGAGUAGGGCUACACACGUGCUACAAUGGCGUAUACAAAGAGAAGCGACCUCGCGAGAGCAAGCGGACCUCAUAAAGUACGUCGUAGUCCGGAUUGGAGUCUGCAACUCGACUCCAUGAAGUCGGAAUCGCUAGUAAUCGUAGAUCAGAAUGCUACGGUGAAUACGUUCCCGGGCCUUGUACACACCGCCCGUCACACCAUGGGAGUGGGUUGCAAAAGAAGUAGGUAGCUUAACCUUCGGGAGGGCGCUUACCACUUUGUGAUUCAUGACUGGGGUGAAGUCGUACAAGGGUAACCGGAC